Molecule: ribosomal RNA, 92 nt
Filed under: Proteus mirabilis
Lineage: Bacteria; Pseudomonadati; Pseudomonadota; Gammaproteobacteria; Enterobacterales; Morganellaceae
Source: RNAcentral
CCACCUGAUCCCAUGCCGAACUCAGAAGUGAAACGCCGUAGCGCCGAUGGUAGUGUGGGGUCUCCCCAUGUGAGAGGAGGGAACUGCCAAGC